This 1320-nucleotide ribosomal RNA is filed under the name Ascomycota sp. RNAcentral's name for it is "partial large subunit ribosomal RNA". It matches the Rfam family "Eukaryotic large subunit ribosomal RNA", at positions 68 to 1417 of the family's 3401-position model. The record is from RNAcentral. Lineage: Eukaryota; Fungi; Ascomycota.
ACAGGGAUUGCCUCAGUAACGGCGAGUGAAGCGGCAACAGCUCAAAUUUGAAAUCUGGCCGCAAGGUCCGAGUUGUAAUUUGUAGAGGAUGCUUUUGGCGAGGUGACUUCCGAGUUCCCUGGAACGGGACGCCAUAGAGGGUGAGAGCCCCGUACGGUCGUGCCACCGAGCCUCUGUAAAGCUCCUUCGACGAGUCGAGUAGUUUGGGAAUGCUGCUCUAAAUGGGAGGUGUACGUCUUCUAAAGCUAAAUACCGGCCAGAGACCGAUAGCGCACAAGUAGAGUGAUCGAAAGAUGAAAAGCACUUUGAAAAGAGGGUUAAAAAGUACGUGAAAUUGUUGAAAGGGAAGCAUUCAUGACCAGACUUGGGCUUGGUUGAACAUCCGGCGUUCUCGCCGGUGCACUCUGCCAGCUCAGGCCAGCAUCAGUUUGCCCCGGGGGACAAAGGCGGCGGGAAUGUGGCUCCCUACGGGGAGUGUUAUAGCCCGUCGUGUAAUGCCCUGGGGUGGACUGAGGUUCGCGCUUCGGCACGGAUGCUGGCGUAAUGGUCAUCAAUGACCCGUCUUGAAACACGGACCAAGGAGUCGUCUUCGUAUGCGAGUGUUCGGGUGUCAAACCCCUACGCGUAAUGAAAGUGAACGUAGGUGAGAGCUUCGGCGCAUCACCGACCGAUCCUGAUGUUCUCGGAUGGAUUUGAGUAAGAGCAUACGGGGCCGGACCCGAAAGAAGGUGAACUAUGCCUGUAUAGGGUGAAGCCAGAGGAAACUCUGGUGGAGGCUCGCAGCGGUUCUGACGUGCAAAUCGAUCGUCAAAUAUGGGCAUGGGGGCGAAAGACUAAUCGAACCUUCUAGUAGCUGGUUUCCGCCGAAGUUUCCCUCAGGAUAGCAGUGUUGAACUCAGUUUUAUGAGGUAAAGCGAAUGAUUAGGGACCAGGGGGCGCUAUAUAGCCUUCAUCCAUUCUCAAACUUUAAAUAUGUAAGAAGCCCUUGUUGCUUAAUUGAACGUGGGCAUUCGAAUGUAUCAACACUAGUGGGCCAUUUUUGGUAAGCAGAACUGGCGAUGCGGGAUGAACCGAACGCGAGGUUAAGGUGCCAGAGUAGACGCUCAUCAGACACCACAAAAGGUGUUAGUACAUCUUGACAGCAGGACGGUGGCCAUGGAAGUCGGAAUCCGCUAAGGACUGUGUAACAACUCACCUGCCGAAUGUACUAGCCCUGAAAAUGGAUGGCGCUCAAGCGUCUCACCCAUACCUCGCCCUCAGGGUUGAAAUGAUGCCCUGAGGAGUAGGCGGACGUAGAGGUCAGUGACGAAGCCUAGGGCG